AUUUGGGCAAUGGACGCAAGUCUGACCCAGCCAUGCCGCGUGCAGGAUGAAGGCGUUAUGCGUCGUAAACUGCUUUUAUACAGGAAGAAACGACUCUUGCGAGAGGCAUUGACGGUACUGUAUGAAUAAGCACCGGCUAACUCCGUGCCAGCAGCCGCGGUAAUACGGAGGGUGCAAGCGUUGUCCGGAUUUAUUGGGUUUAAAGGGUGCGCAGGUGGUUUAUUAAGUCAGUGGUGAAAGACGGUCGCUCAACGAUUGCAGUGCCAUUGAAACUAGUAGACUUGAGUAAAGUAGAGGUGGGCGGAAUUGAUAGUGUAGCGGUGAAAUGCAUAGAUAUUAUCAAGAACUCCAAUUGCGUAGGCAGCUCACUUGGCUUUUACUGACACUCAUGCACGAAAGUGUGGGUAUCAAACAGAGAUUANAUACCC
This 428-nucleotide ribosomal RNA is filed under the name Bacteroidetes bacterium SCGC AAA024-B16. Its description in RNAcentral is "bacterial SSU rRNA". It matches the Rfam family "Bacterial small subunit ribosomal RNA", at positions 362 to 787 of the family's 1533-position model. Lineage: Bacteria; Pseudomonadati; Bacteroidota. The record is from RNAcentral.